This 667-nucleotide ribosomal RNA is filed under the name uncultured Lachnospiraceae bacterium. RNAcentral's name for it is "bacterial SSU rRNA". It matches the Rfam family "Bacterial small subunit ribosomal RNA", at positions 56 to 724 of the family's 1533-position model. Lineage: Bacteria; Bacillati; Bacillota; Clostridia; Lachnospirales; Lachnospiraceae. The record is from RNAcentral.
UGCAAGUCGAACGAAGCACUUGAUUUGAUUCUUCGGAUGAAGAUCUUGGUGAGUGAGUGGCGGACGGGUGAGUAACGCGUGGGUAACCUGCCUCAUACAGGGGGAUAACAGUUAGAAAUGACUGCUAAUACCGCAUAAGACCACAGCACCGCAUGGUGCAGGGGUAAAAACUCCGGUGGUAUGAGAUGGACCCGCGUCUGAUUAGGUAGUUGGUGGGGUAACGGCCUACCAAGCCGACGAUCAGUAGCCGACCUGAGAGGGUGACCGGCCACAUUGGGACUGAGACACGGCCCAAACUCCUACGGGAGGCAGCAGUGGGGAAUAUUGCACAAUGGGGGAAACCCUGAUGCAGCGACGCCGCGUGAGCGAUGAAGUAUUUCGGUAUGUAAAGCUCUAUCAGCAGGGAAGAAAAUGACGGUACCUGACUAAGAAGCACCGGCUAAAUACGUGCCAGCAGCCGCGGUAAUACGUAUGGUGCAAGCGUUAUCCGGAUUUACUGGGUGUAAAGGGAGCGUAGACGGAGUGGCAAGUCUGAUGUGAAAACCCGGGGCUCGACCCCGGGACUGCAUUGGAAACUGUCAAUCUAGAGUACCGGAGAGGUAAGCGGAAUUCCUAGUGUAGCGGUGAAAUGCGUAGAUAUUAGGAGGAACACCAGUGGCGAAGGCGG